AAGCAAGUUGGAAAAUGGAAUUGACUGAUGUUAAGAAGAGUUCCAAGUAGAAGCUUGUCAUCUGUUCCCAGAUAAAUAAGAAUUGUGUCCCAAAAUAAGGAUCUAUUGAUGUAGGAAGCAAAACUCCCAUUGACUUCAGUGCAAGCUCAUUGUAUUUUUCAACUAAAUGAAUUGACUUCAAUGACAGUUUAGCCUAAGGAAGCCUUGCAGAAAUGGUCCUGAAAACAUUUAUAUUCUGAGACACCAAGUCCUUGAACCAUCUGUUUGAAAAUAAAAGAUGGAAGGGGAAAAAACAGCCAGCAGAAAUCCUUGAGAAGGAAUGCUGACCUUGUAUGAACUUGGUAUUUGAACUGUCUGGGCCAGCCACACACACAGACUGAGGAUAUCUGGCCACAGUAGGCGGGAUCGACCAAAUCUUAAUCUCCAGAUCCACCUCUCCCUGAAAUGUAGAGGUUCAGAUCUGGACUUGGAUGUGAACCUUGCAAUUUGAACCUAUCUUUGGAUUGGGGCAGAGGUGAGUUUAAUAAGCAAUAGUCUGGGACUCUGUCAGCUAAAGUGUUAUUGUUUUAAAAUAGUUGACGUUAAG
This 586-nucleotide long non-coding RNA is filed under the name Chrysemys picta bellii (western painted turtle). Its description in RNAcentral is "lncRNA (ENSCPBG00000028076.1)". The record is from RNAcentral. Lineage: Eukaryota; Metazoa; Chordata; Testudines; Emydidae.